This 468-nucleotide ribosomal RNA is filed under the name uncultured bacterium. RNAcentral's name for it is "partial 16S ribosomal RNA". It matches the Rfam family "Bacterial small subunit ribosomal RNA", at positions 28 to 507 of the family's 1533-position model. The record is from RNAcentral.
GACGAACGCUGGCGGCGUGCUUAACACAUGCAAGUCGAACGGAAAGGCCCUGCUUUUGUGGGGUGCUUGAGUGGCGAACGGGUGAGUAACACGUGAGUAACCUGCCCUUGACUUUGGGAUAACUUCUGGAAACUGGGGCUAAUACCGGAUAGGAGCUCCUGCUGCAUGGUGGGGGUUGGAAAGUUUCGGCGGUUGGGGAUGGACUCGCGGCUUAUCAGCUUGUUGGUGGGGUAGUGGCUUACCAAGGCUUUGACGGGUAGCCGGCCUGAGAGGGUGACCGGCCACAUUGGGACUGAGAUACGGCCCAGACUCCUACGGGAGGCAGCAGUGGGGAAUAUUGCACAAUGGGCGGAAGCCUGAUGCAGCAACGCCGCGUGCGGGAUGACGGCCUUCGGGUUGUAAACCGCUUUCGCCUGUGACGAAGCGUGAGUGACGGUAAUUGGUAAAGAAGCACCGGCUAACUACGUG